Podarcis lilfordi (Lilford's wall lizard) is the source of this 72-nucleotide non-coding RNA. NCBI's taxonomy places the organism in Eukaryota, Metazoa, Chordata, Lepidosauria, Squamata, Lacertidae. The record is from the annotation of a GenBank genome assembly.
AGAACUGUAGCUCAGUGACAGAGCAUCUGCCUUGCAAGCAGAAGGUGCGAGGUUCAGUCCCCAGCAUCUCCA